CUUUUCCGUUUUCUCUGAUCUCGGUGGCAGGGAUUUUCAGCAAAUGCCCUAACCCUCUCUGUAGGGGGCUCACGUUCACCAUUUCCAGGGUGAGUUCAUCUCUGUGUAACUCGUCCUUACCUGGAGUGACUGGGUGUGUGAUCUAUUCUCACCAUUCCUGGGGUGAUCUCAUCGAUGUGUGAUGCAUCUUCACCAUUCCUGGAGUAACCUCAUCCAUGUGAGAUACAUCCUUAUCAUUUCUGGGGUAACCUCAUCUAUAUGUGAUCUACCCUCCAUUCCUGGGGUGACCUCAUCUGUGUGGCACACAAUGUGAUUAUAAAAAGACAAAGAGGCAUGACUUCCUCACCUCAUCUAUGUGUGAUCCAUCCUUGACAUUCCUGGGGUGACUGGGUGUGUGAAGGUCUAACUCCACCUCCACCCCACCCCCACUCCAGACCUCUUGGACCAGCCAGCCAUAUUAUCAGGGGACGUAAUUAAUGACAUUUGACCUUGCAUCCCAGUUGGAAAGCAUUCAUGCCUUACCUUCAUCCUUCAUCAAACAGCUCAAGCCAGUUGCUACUAGAGUUGAGGGUCCCUAGGGUGGAGUAGACAUCGUUCUCUUUUUAUGCUUUUAAAUAUUGGUAAGUGCCCUGAACUAGUCUUAGGUCAACUUGACACAAGCUAGAGUCAUCUGAAAGGAGGGAAUUUCUAUUGAGGAAAUGCCUCCAUGAGAUCCAGCUAUAGGGGAUUUCCUUAGUUAGUGAUCAGUGGGGGAGGGCCCAGCCCACUGUGUUCUAACCCUGGGCUGAUGGUCCUGAGUUCUAUAAGAAAGCAAGGUGAGCAAGCCAUGAUGAGCAAGCCAGCAAGCAGCACCCCUCCAUGGCCUCUGCAUCAGCUCCUGCCUCUGGGUUCCUGCCCUGUUUGAGUUCCUGUCCUGACUUUCUUCGAUGAUGAACAGUGAUGUGGAAGAUUCUUCAGCCAGGAAAAAAUAGCAGCGAAGGAGAGAGAGAGAAAUCCUUCCCUGGUGAGCUGGAUUCCUUGAAGUUGCAGACUAUGAAAAGCGGGAUGCAGUUAUGUGAACUCCCAGCAUCCUGGUCCAUAUGCCUGCCUGCUUGCUGUCUCUUCCGUGCCUUUAUGGGUGCUAACCCUCUGGGACCACAAGACAACAUAACAACAAGACCGUCUUCCUUAAGAUGCCUUGGUCAUGGUGUGUCUUAUCGCAGCGGCAGAAAAGUACUGAAUACAAGGGACAACCCGACUGUGUGUUUGCGCCAAGCGAUCUCGUAGACACGGGCCAGUCUAUGGACUAACUGCCCUUGUGCAUCUAUACCUAUCACUGUCAGAGCACAGAAGAACGAGCCGCGGUGAACAGUGAAUGUCUUGGGGAACUGUGGGAAAGGCUCCAGGAGAAAAGGCAGAGGGCCUUUUAUCUCAGGGGUGUCUUGUUUCCUGGAUUGUUCUUGGACGUGAUUUUGUGCUUCCUGUGUUAAACAUUGACGUUCAAGCCGUAAGGCAUGUUUAUUCUUGUUGGAUGUCUGGACAUAGCUAUAGAACCCAAUCUGGUCAGUGUACCCUGAAUGUGGAUGUGGCCUUCUGCCUUGCUUUUGUGCUUUCCCAGGUAGAGUCUACAGUACUUUCCAGGUAAUUGUGUUUAAACUGGUCUGACCUGAGAAAGUUCUGGGAAAGAGCUGCCCUGUUAAUAGUAUGAGCUUACUGGUGCUAAUUUGCAUAUUUUUCUGAUCACUUUUUUUUUUUUCAAAACUCAAACAGCCUUCCUUGGAUCAUUCCUUUCUUUGUUACAUUGUGUAUAAAAGGACACAGAAACUGAAGUAAGGUUGUCUACAGCAUCACACUCUAGUCCGCCCGUUCUUUCAGGUCUUCAGCGUCAGGUCCAGCAGACAAGAUCUGCACAGGUUGAUGCAAACUGACACAGGAUUACCUCUCUUCUGUUUAUUUUGGUUUUAUUGUUUGAGAUCCAGUCUCCCGUGGUCCAGGCUGGCCUUGAACUAGAUAUACAGCUAAGAUGAUCCUCCUGCCUCCACCUCCCAAGAGCUGGGAUUGCAGGUGUGCGCCUCUAUUCCUGGUUUAUGCAGCACUGGGGCGUCAAUCCAGGACAACAUGCUUGCUAGGCAACAUGCAUGCUAGGCAAGAACUAUACCGACUGAGCUACACCCCAGCCCUCUGUAUCCAUUUUUUUUAAAAAACCAUCUGGAGAAACAAGUUGGGGGAAUAAAUUACAUAGGAAUUUGG
Molecule: long non-coding RNA, 2229 nt
Filed under: Mus musculus (house mouse)
Lineage: Eukaryota; Metazoa; Chordata; Mammalia; Rodentia; Muridae
Description: RIKEN cDNA 1110002J07 gene
Source: RNAcentral